RNAcentral lists this ribosomal RNA (497 nucleotides) under uncultured bacterium. RNAcentral's name for it is "partial 16S ribosomal RNA". It matches the Rfam family "Bacterial small subunit ribosomal RNA", at positions 28 to 507 of the family's 1533-position model. The record is from RNAcentral.
GAUGAACGCUGGCGGCGUGCCUAAUACAUGCAAGUCGAGCGAACAGACGAGGAGCUUGCUCCUCUGACGUUAGCGGCGGACGGGUGAGUAACACGUGGAUAACCUACCUAUAAGACUGGGAUAACUUCGGGAAACCGGAGCUAAUACCGGAUAAUAUAUUGAACCGCAUGGUUCAAUAGUGAAAGACGGUCUUGCUGUCACUUAUAGAUGGAUCCGCGCCGCAUUAGCUAGUUGGUAAGGUAACGGCUUACCAAGGCAACGAUGCAUAGCCGACCUGAGAGGGUGAUCGGCCACACUGGAACUGAGACACGGGCCAGACUCCUACGGGAGGCAGCAGGAGGGAAUCUUCCGCAAUGGGCGAAAGCCUGACGGAGCAACGCCGCGUGAGUGAUGAAGGUCUUCGGAUCGUAAAACUCUGUUAUUAGGGAAGAACAUAUGUGUAAGUAACUGUGCACAUCUUGACGGUACCUAAUCAGAAAGCCACGGCUAACUACGUG